This 400-nucleotide RNase P RNA is filed under the name Lentimicrobiaceae bacterium. RNAcentral describes it as "RNase P RNA component class A". It matches the Rfam family "Bacterial RNase P class A". From Rfam's summary of the family: Ribonuclease P (RNase P) is a ubiquitous endoribonuclease, found in archaea, bacteria and eukarya as well as chloroplasts and mitochondria. Its best characterised activity is the generation of mature 5'-ends of tRNAs by cleaving the 5'-leader elements of precursor-tRNAs. The record is from RNAcentral. RNAcentral also lists the same sequence under 2 other names. Lineage: Bacteria; Pseudomonadati; Bacteroidota; Bacteroidia; Bacteroidales; Lentimicrobiaceae.
GGAUGCUGUGUUUUCUGUCGCCGGUCUUUGCAGAAGACGGGAGGAAAGUCGGGGCAACACAGGGCACCAUACUUCCCAACAGGAAGGUUCCAUAGCCGGUGGAAACAGACAGUGCCACAGAAAAUAACCGUCACGUUGCUUCAGGGUAACGGGAUAAGGGUGAAAACGUGGGGUAAGAGCCCACGGCAGCGUAUGGUGACAUUCGCUGCGGGCAAACCUUAUGGGUUGAAAGGCCAAAUAUACCGGAAGGCCGUCAGCAAUGGCGGCAGAGAGCUGCCCGCUCUUUUCCGGGGGGUAGGCCGAUAGAGCCUUGUGGCAACACAAGGCCUGGAUAAAUGACAGAACGCCGGAGAAGCUAUGCUACCCGGCCGACAGAACCCCGCUUACGCACAGCCCGGCU